Molecule: ribosomal RNA, 700 nt
Filed under: uncultured beta proteobacterium
Lineage: Bacteria; Pseudomonadati; Pseudomonadota; Betaproteobacteria
Description: bacterial SSU rRNA
Rfam family: Bacterial small subunit ribosomal RNA
Source: RNAcentral
AGUGGCGAACGGGUGAGUAAUAUAUCGGAACGUGCCCAGUCGUGGGGGAUAACGUAGCGAAAGUUACGCUAAUACCGCAUACGAUCUACGGAUGAAAGCGGGGGACCGUAAGGCCUCGCGCGAUUGGAGCGGCCGAUAUCAGAUUAGGUAGUUGGUGGGGUAAAGGCUCACCAAGCCAACGAUCUGUAGCUGGUCUGAGAGGACGACCAGCCACACUGGAACUGAGACACGGUCCAGACUCCUACGGGAGGCAGCAGUGGGGAAUUUUGGACAAUGGACGCAAGUCUGAUCCAGCCAUUCCGCGUGCAGGAUGAAGGCCCUCGGGUUGUAAACUGCUUUUGUACGGAACGAAAAGGUCUCUAUUAAUACUAGGGGCUCAUGACGGUACCGUAAGAAUAAGCACCGGCUAACUACGUGCCAGCAGCCGCGGUAAUACGUUGGGUGCAAGCGUUAAUCGGAAUUACUGGGCGUAAAGCGUGCGCAGGCGGUUAUGUAAGACAGAGGUGAAAUCCCCGGGCUCAACCUGGGAACUGCCUUUGUGACUGCAUAGCUAGAGUACGGUAGAGGGGGAUGGAAUUCCGCGUGUAGCAGUGAAAUGCGUAGAUAUGCGGAGGAACACCGAUGGCGAAGGCAACCCCCUGGACCUGUACUGACGCUCAUGCACGAAAGCGUGGGGAGCAAACAGGAUUAGAUACCCUGG